AGACUUACUUGGCAGGGGAAAUACCAUGGUCCUGUAGGCAGCUUUCCUAAGGCAAAGCUCAUCAUUCCACUCCAAGUCUGCUAACCCCGAGGUUUCCCCAAACAUGGGAGACUCAACUGCAUAUUUGUGGCAGUGGGGGAACUAUGUUCCCACU
This 154-nucleotide small nuclear RNA is filed under the name Microtus ochrogaster (prairie vole). RNAcentral's name for it is "U1 spliceosomal RNA (ENSMOCG00000006387.1)". It matches the Rfam family "U1 spliceosomal RNA". Rfam says of the family: U1 is a small nuclear RNA (snRNA) component of the spliceosome (involved in pre-mRNA splicing). Its 5' end forms complementary base pairs with the 5' splice junction, thus defining the 5' donor site of an intron. The record is from RNAcentral. Lineage: Eukaryota; Metazoa; Chordata; Mammalia; Rodentia; Cricetidae.